Molecule: ribosomal RNA, 254 nt
Filed under: uncultured bacterium
Lineage: Bacteria
Description: partial 16S ribosomal RNA
Rfam family: Bacterial small subunit ribosomal RNA
Source: RNAcentral
UACGGGGGGAGCAAGCGUUGUUCGGAUUUACUGGGCGUAAAGGGCGCGUAGGCGGUCGUGACAAGUCUCUUGUGAAAUCUCCGGGCUUAACUCGGAACGGUCAAGUGAUACUGUCGGACUAGAGUACAGAAGGGGCAACUGGAAUUCUCGGUGUAGCGGUGAAAUGCGUAGAUAUCGAGAGGAACACCUGCGGCGAAGGCGGGUUGCUGGGCUGAUACUGACGCUGAGGCGCGAAAGCCAGGGGAGCGAACGGG